This 321-nucleotide small nuclear RNA is filed under the name Peromyscus maniculatus bairdii (prairie deer mouse). RNAcentral's name for it is "7SK RNA (ENSPEMG00000003854.2)". It matches the Rfam family "7SK RNA". From Rfam's summary of the family: 7SK was discovered as an abundant small nuclear RNA in the mid-70s but a possible function has only recently been suggested. The record is from Rfam by way of RNAcentral. Lineage: Eukaryota; Metazoa; Chordata; Mammalia; Rodentia; Cricetidae.
GGAUGUGAGGACAAUCUGGCUAAUGAUGCCUGCACAUUGAUGGCCAGGGUUGAUUCUGCUGAUCUGGCUGGCUAAGCCCUUCUUGUCCCAUCACUCCAAUCAUCCCUUCCAAUGCUGUGACUUCAGUGGAAGAGGAGGACCAUCCUACAUGGAAGAGGACCAAGUCUUAGGCCAAGGGUAUUUGACUAACUGUGCUCUCCUGAUAGAACUUCGAACACGUUCUCAGUAACUGUCAUGAUUCAAACUAGCCAUUCUGGAAGGUUGUUCAAAUUUUCUCACAUUUUCUGUUUUGCUCUAUGUAUUGUGUAUGUGCUAUAUAUA